UACGGGGGGGGCAAGCGUUGUUCGGAAUUACUGGGCGUAAAGGGCUCGUAGGCGGCCAACUAAGUCAGACGUGAAAUCCCUCGGCUUAACCGGGGAACUGCGUCUGAUACUGGAUGGCUUGAGUUCGGGAGAGGGAUGCGGAAUUCCAGGUGUAGCGGUGAAAUGCGUAGAUAUCUGGAGGAACACCGGUGGCGAAGGCGGCAUCCUGGACCGAUACUGACACUGAGGAGCGAAAGCCAGGGGAGCAAACGGG
This 253-nucleotide ribosomal RNA is filed under the name uncultured bacterium. RNAcentral's name for it is "partial 16S ribosomal RNA". It matches the Rfam family "Bacterial small subunit ribosomal RNA", at positions 524 to 776 of the family's 1533-position model. The record is from RNAcentral.